GAGCGCAACAAGCACAAAAAAAAACAGAGAGAAAACAAACUCUGCUUCAGAAAAAAUGUGAAAGAAAACAAAAAUGUAUGACAACAACAACAACAGCAAAAAAAUGGAAAAUGUCUCCGCUUGAAAUGAAAUAAAUAACUUGGCACUCAUCUGAGUGAAUGCGCUACCCCCGCAAAGAAAAGUUGUGGACUAAGCAACUGUAGGUCAUACAAUGGUCGACCAUAGAAAAUCCAGUUGUCGUUUCAACAUCUCAACGUUAGUUUCACCAUGCCGAGAAUUUAAUCUAUAAACUGACAAACAAAGCACGCCAGACAACAACAAUUAUGUGCCGGGGCUGACAGGCACCGGAGCUCUGAAUUCUGUCCUGGAAGCGGAAAUGUGUAGCAUUUCUUAUGAACUCGCUUAGGGAGCAGACAUAAUGCAUAAGUUAUUAAGGAAGCGGCGACAAUGAAGUUUGCAACAAGCUUAAGAAACAUUUUCAACCAAAAAAAUGUAUGCAAAAAUACUUUGACGCUCUGCCAAGAGCAAUCUGUCAGGCUUUGAACGCCUACACCCAAGCAACUAACUCUUGCACUAAGAUUUGAAAACGGAUUUGCACAAGGCUCGUGGCUGGACUUAAAGGCCCGUUGGUGGUCGGGUUUCACUUAUUUUGUAUUAUUUUAAUCAACAUUAAGAUGGCAAUUUAAACAAAUUGAGCAUGUGAUAUAAAUAAAAUACU
Long non-coding RNA from Drosophila sulfurigaster albostrigata, 718 nucleotides. RefSeq lists it as uncharacterized. NCBI's taxonomy places the organism in Eukaryota, Metazoa, Arthropoda, Insecta, Diptera, Drosophilidae. The transcript is spliced from 3 exons. The record is from RefSeq and is a predicted model, not a curated record.